AGAAUGAAGAGUUUGAUCCUGGCUCAGGAUGAACGCUAGCGACAGGCUUAACACAUGCAAGUCGAGGGGCAGCACUGGU
Molecule: ribosomal RNA, 79 nt
Filed under: Culturomica sp.
Lineage: Bacteria; Pseudomonadati; Bacteroidota; Bacteroidia; Bacteroidales; Odoribacteraceae
Description: partial 16S ribosomal RNA
Rfam family: Bacterial small subunit ribosomal RNA
Source: RNAcentral